AGGAAGUCUCCUGGUAUGGAUGGAUUUACUGGAGAAAUGUGUAAAAGUGUCUGGAAGUCAAUUCCAAAAUAUAUGAAAGCGAUGUUUGCGAAGUGUCUGAAUGAGGGUUAUUUCCCCAGUGAAUGGAAGUGUGCGAGAGUGAUAGUGCUCCUGAAGUCGCCUGACAGGGUCAGGAGCAAUCCUAGAUCUUUUCGGGGCAUCAGUCUUCUUCCGGUUCUUGGAAAAGUUCUGGAAAGGAUUAUGGUAGAAAGGCUUCAGGAGAGAAUGAGUGACCAAAUGUCUGACAGGCAACUUGGUUUUAGGCAGGGCAGAUGUGUUGAGGAUGCGUGGAGGUAUGUUAGUGACUCUGUUGAGGCUGGCAGCUCCACGUAUAUCUUGGGCAUCUUUGUUGAUUUUAAAGGUGCUUUCGACUACCUGAGUUGGGCGAGUGUUCUGAGAAGGUUGGAUGAAUGCGGGUGCCGAGAAUUAGCUCUCUGGAAGAGCUAUUACUCUGGCAGACGUGCGUGUGUUGUAGGGCGGAGUGAAUGUGUGAGCGUAGAUGUGGUUCGUGGCUGUCCGCAGGGAUCUAUCUGGCCCAUUCAUUUGGAACCUCAUGAUGGACCCCUUGCUGGUGCAGCUCGAGCAGAUGUGUAAGUGUUGUGCGUAUGCGGACGAUCUGCUCGUCUUGAUUGAGGGUCGGUCGCGUCUUAAGAUCGAGACGAAUGCGGGUAUGUGCUUGCGCACUGUGUAUGAGUGGGGUGAAAGUGUUGGGGUCAGUCUUGCAAUGGACAAGACAGUGUCAAGGGCAGAUUGGCAACUAGUCGGCCACCCUUUGUCAGACUGAAUGGAGUGAAUGUGAGGUAUGCGUCUGAGGUGAAAUACCUCGACAUAACCUUCGGCGAGAGGAUGUGUUUCACUCCUCAUAUCGCUGGUCUCAAGGCCCGGCUACUUGGCUUGGUGGGGCAAGUGCGUCGUAUUUUGAGGUCUGACUGGGGCCUUAGCAGACGUGCUGUCCGCACUAUCUAUGAGGGUAUGUUUGCUGCAUGUGCAGCGUAUGGAUCGCCUGUAUGGUGCAAGGCCGUCACGACUGUGGUUGGCAGAAAGAAAGUGCUGGCUUGCCAGAGAGUGCUUCUGUUAGGUUGUUUGCCUGUGUGCCGCACUGUCUCUACGGAGGCAAUGCAGGUACUGUUGGGAGUGGCCCCCUUGACUUGGAGAUCAGGCGUCGAGCCUUGAUGUACAGGAUCAAGAGGCGGCUGCCAUUGCUGCAGAAUGAUUGGCUAGCAGAUAGGGAUGUGGAGAGUUUAGGGCUUAGUGAAUGCAAGAGAUUGGUGAAAGAGUGUGUUUUGUCUGACUGGUAAGUCAGAUGGGGCACAAGCGUGAAUGGGCGUGUCACUCAUCGGUUUAUACGGGAGGUUACAUUUGCCGGCAGCCGACCAGACUUUGGGUACGGCCUAAGUCUUGGAUUCCUGUUGACUGGUCAUGGUUCCCUCAAUGCAUUUUUGCAUUCAAGGAGCCUUUAUGACAGUCCAGAAUGCCGUUGUGGCUCGGCUGCUGAGACAUGGGAGCAUGUUCUCUGUGAGUGCACAAUAUAUGCAGAUCUUCGUGAUCUGAUGGGGAUGGGUAUAAGUGUGGGUAGUGGCGGGUUUGACGUAAGUCAAUCACUCUCCACUAGUGAUAGGGUUAGAAGAAUGAGUGAGUUUGCUAGAGCUGUUUGCAAUUGCAGGAAGGAAUUGUAUGAAUGAAGAUAGAUGGUAGAUGUACGAAUGUGGGGUGCGAAUGGUGGGGUACGAACGUGGGGGUGUGUCUGAAUGGGCAUUUUGUUGAACAUGGUGUUGUCCGGGGCUACCAGUCCCCAGCAUCAUGGAGCUAAAACUGGAAGUGUCCUUUUAGGAUACGAGUUCUGACCAGAGGAUUGAUCUGGGACCACGGGCGUUAGGGAACACAGAGGCGGUCUCGGCUCUCUGCUCUCUCCGCCAUAGUCUUUUGGGACUUGUUGGGGACACUAGCUGGCCGCCUAGCGGUUUGAUCUAUGAUCAACUUGAAAAUGCCGUCGCUUGCGGAAGAGGCAGGAAUAAGCCUCCCUCCCCACAGUGAGAAAGCCAUGCCAUGAACAUGUAUACAUCUCCUUAUCUCCUUACUUACUUGAUUAAAUGGAACGUGUAUCAUUUCCUAGCCAUUAUACGGAUAUAAUUAUUAUGUCUUAUGGUAUUGGGUUUUGAUGCAAGCUUCUUGAUCAAAGUAUCACGAGUUUGUUAUAUAAUCGCAAACAUAUUCUUUAAUGAGAGAAUGCAUUUAUGUAUUAUUGAUUUAGAAAUUUGGUAUAACUCCAAUUACUCAGGUAUGAUCCAAUUCAAGGACAUUGCCAGGUAGGGAGUUUGACUGGGGCGGUACAUCUCUCAAAUAAUAACGGAGGUGUCCCAAGGCCAGCUCAGUGCGGACAGAAACCACACAUAGAGCAAAAGGGCAAAUGCUGACUUGAUCUCGGUGUUCAGUACACACAGGGACAGCAAAAGCUCGGCCUAUCGAUCCUUUUGGUUUAAAGAGUUUUUAAAAAGAUGUGUCAGAAAAGUUACCAUAGGGAUAACUGGCUUGUGGCGGCCAAGCGUUAAUAGCGACGUCGCUUUUUGAUCCUUCGAUGUCGGCUCUUCCUAUCAUUGUGAAGCAAAAUUCACCAAGCGUUAAAUUGUUCACCCAUGCAAGGGAACGUGAGCUGGGUUUAGACCGUCGUGAGACAGGUUAGUUUUACCCUACUAAUGACAAAACGUUGUUGCGACAGCAUUCCUGCGUAGUACGAGAGGAACCGCAGGUACGGACCAAUGGCACAAUACUUGUUCGAGCGAACAGUGGUAUGACGCUACGUCCGUUGGAUUAUGCCUGAACGCCUCUAAGGUCGUAUCCGUGCUGGACUGCAAUGAUAAAUAAGGGGCAAUUUGCAUUGUAUGGCUUCUAAACCAUUAAAAGUUUUUAAUUUAUUUUAUUAACGACAAUGGAUGUGAUGCCAAUGUUAUUUAUAACAUAGUAAAUUGGGAGGAUCUUCGAUCACCUGAUGCCGCGCUAGUUAUAUUUUAAAACAUUAUUU
Molecule: ribosomal RNA, 3058 nt
Filed under: Drosophila novamexicana
Lineage: Eukaryota; Metazoa; Arthropoda; Insecta; Diptera; Drosophilidae
Description: eukaryotic LSU rRNA
Rfam family: Eukaryotic large subunit ribosomal RNA (bases 2030-3058)
Source: RNAcentral